GAAUUGUGCCCUCGGUAUAUCCCAUUGUUAAAUGAUGGAUGAUCUGCAAAUAAUCUGAACUGAUUCUAAGCCAUCUUUUUCAGAACAUGAGCUGAUUAACCCCUAGUUUUCUAAUGACUUGUUUUCUUCACAUGUCCUCAUGAUGCUCUACCAUUACUGGAUCCAUGAAGCUGAAGUCACAUUUCAAAUGAUACAAAAUAUGUUACAGAGCAUCAGAUACCGAAUAUCUUUUCACUCGUCUAAAUACUAUUUUACUUGUAGUAUAUGUAUCUAAAGAUCCCAUUGAAAAGAAAAACGUGGGUUUGCUUAAUCAUCAUAAAAAAGGUGGGAUCAAGAAAUGACAUUUCUAUACUCCUGGACAUCCUCUCUGCAACUUCUAUGAUUAAGGAACAAACCCAAGAUGAGCUCAGGUGUCCCAGAUCAUCACAACAGCGAUUACCCCGACACCCAACAACACUGCUAAGAACUUGUAGUUGGGGGUGUCAAAGGGAACUGUCCUCUGGCAAGUGUAUCCCUUGGACAGUAGAUGGUUUAUUGAGACAUAGAUGAAGAUCCCACAUGCUAGCCCCAUUGAUAUGGCGUAUAUCCAGUCAGCCACAGCGCCCUGGGUAGUGGCAUCUAUGACGAUACCAAUGGCCACUCCAACUGGGCUAGAAAUGGCAAAUGCAAAGGCAUAGGCUACACAGGAGAGGAGGGGUCUGUCUGGAAUCAUCCGAAGGAGAGCUAUUCCCAUUGCAAUGGCUGCAAAUAUCUUGUGGAGACAGACCGUCCAUAGAGCUCUCCAAGCGUCAGCUUCGGUCUCUGCAACUCCAAUUGCAAUGCCCUCAAAUACAGAGUGGAAACACAGUGCAAAGAUGAGUAAUAUGUUGUCCCCAAGCGAUGUGGCGGUUCUCAGAGGGGCGUUUACAGAGUGGACCUCUGUGCAAUUCUGAUCCUGUUAAGGGAUAAUAAGUAUUCAUUUAGCUGUCUCAGGCAUUUUAAAACGUUUUUCCUUGUAUUUUCUGAGUGAUAAGAGGAUCAUGGUUUCCUUAUCAUCUUACCUGAGCCAGAGACUCUGAAUUUCCGCCAUUGCUACUGCUUUUUCCUUGCAUAUUUUCUGUAACAAAGGGAAAAUGAAUGAAAGUGAAUCAUAAUACCAUUGUGAAAGAGAGGAGUUCAAAUCCAAGUGAGAGUAGGAUUUUGUCUAAAAAACCCAUCCAAAUACAUUAAAAUGAAAAUUGAAUCGACUUCUCGAUCUCUUAUCAUAUGGCCAAGUGGACUUCUGAGAUUACCAUCUUAUAAAACCUCAACAGUCAACACAUCAUGUUGCGUAAAGAUUUGAAAUUCUAUUCUUUUCUAUCCACCAUCCAUCCAGGAUCCACAAGGUCCAACCGACUUAUUUUGAACUGAAAAAAGGGUCAAUUUUCAACAACAAACAAAAGGGAAAAAUAAAUUCUUCAAAGAAGGAAAAAAAAAAUUCUGAUAAUCUCCAUGUCAGUAACUACUCAACUUAAUCAACUCUGCCUCAGGUUUUUUCCAAAGCACCAACUAAAUUCCAGAAAGAAAGAAAAUUAACAAAAGAAAGCCCAGCAAAAAUUUCAUAACUUUCUUUUCUUUUUCUUCUGGCUUCACGGCAAUCAAAGUCAUAUCUAAAGAAGCUUCGCCCAAAAGGGUGAGCUUUUCAUAGCUUUCCUCCGUUUCUUCAGCUGAGAAACAGAGUAAGGAUUUAAAUAUCGAAGUUGAAAACGCUCACUAAACUCAUUUGCAAUUUCCCUGCUUUAAGCUUUCUCUUCUUCUACUCUAUUUUCUCGGCAGUCAAACGGAGUAACAAUCAAGGCUAUCAAGCACCAGAAAAGAAAAAGAAAAAAAUAAAAUAAAUUCAAAUCACCAAAUCAGUACUGUCUACACUAAAUUGAGUUUCUUAUCUCUUACUUUCCUUAUCUUCUACGGGAAGAUAAAAUAAUAAAAUAAAAAAUAAAAAAUAAAAAAUUAAUAAAAAAAUUCAAAGGCUCAAAGAACCAACCUUGAAGCUCGACAUCUCCAUCGCCACCAUUCGCCCCCUUUCCAUACACAUAGGAAACCAAACAAUCGGCGAACAUCGUCAUCAAAUACCCCGCACACGCCAGCAUGAACGCGAACGGAUACUCCACGCUCGUCAAAUCCCCAAACGUCUCAUUCGAGUCGCUCAGAAAAUGCAUCAUCGCCGUCCCUAGAAACACUCCGCCGGCGAACUGCGUUCCCAGCACUAGAAACGUCUCGUUCCACUUCAAGAAGUAAGGCGACACGCCGCCGAUGAACGUCCCGACAAACACCAGAAUCAGACAGUAGAUCUUCACCAGAAUCAGUGGUUUCGCCCUCAAGUCAACGCUGUCCGACGACGGCGCGUCACCAUCAUCAUCAUCGGCAUGAUCGCCGCCAUGGGCUGCGGCGACGGCUGCGAGGACGAGGAGGAGAAGAGAGAGGGAGAGGAGAGAGCGAGACAUAGAAAACGGUGGGAUGAAGAAGGAAACAUUUGAGUAAUUAUGUAGGGUUUCAAUAUUCCUAUAUAUCUAUAUUAGAGGGUUGAUUGUUCACCACAGACACAAAUGUGAAUGAGCGAGUACUGCACCAAGAAGUCAUGAAUGUGAGAGACAUACAGCUACGAACUACGAUAAUGAUAAUGACUGAUCAUUUACAGCGCUUGUUUCGCAACCAAGCUUCCUUACUGCUUUGUGGGACUCUUCUUGGGGUCUUUCAAUGAAAAGGAUUUAAUGUUUUUUGUUUUUUUUUUUUAAUAAAAAUGUUUAAAAAUUUAAAAUAUUUUUAAUCUAUUCUUAAUAUUUUAAAAUAUGUUGUAAAAAUAAUUUUUAUAUUUAUUUUUAAUUAUUUUGUAUAAUUAUUUCUUAAAAUAACUUUUAAAAAACAAUAUAAGACAAUUAAAUGAUAUUAUUUGAAAAUAUCCUUUUUUUUUUUUUGUUCUUAAUAAUAAAAAAAUAUGUUAUCAAACAUGUAAUUUUGCAUUUUUUUAGAAUAAAAAAUUAUUCUAAAAACAGUUACCAAACAAAUCCUAAGAUUUGAAAAAGAAUAAUUUAUUUUUAUUUAAAAUAGUUUUAUUGUCUUUUUAAGACAAUUUAAAUAAGUAAAAUUGUUAAAUAUUUUAACAUACCAUUCUAAAUUAUUUUUCUUAAAAUUGAAAGUAUUGUAACUAUUUUUCUUAGACUUGGAAGUAAAUUAUUUCAAAAUUUAUGAUAAAACGUAUUAUUGGGUGAUUUAAAUAGUUUUAUUGUCCUUUUUUCUGCAUUUUAAAUAUAAGUAUGGUUGUCCAUUAUUUUAUGUAUUAGGUGGUAUGUUGAAUUUAAAGAUGAUUCUAAAUUUUUCUUAGACUUGAAUGUAUUGUAGAGUAUUUUUUUCUUCGGUCAUCAAAGUGAAUAUGUCGAAAUUAUAUAAUAAAAUUUGAAUCAUUGGAUUAUUUAAAUAGUUGUAUCGUCUUUUUUGAAUAUUUUAAAUAUGUACGAUUGUGUUUUUCUUCGUACAUUGAAUUUUAAAAUGACCGUAAACUAUUUUUCUCACCUUGAAAAGGAAUAUGUUCAAAAUAUAUGAUAAAAUCUAAAUCACUAAAUGAAAAUACAAAUUAUAAAAUCAAGAUAAAACAACAUUAGUGCCUAGAGAUCUCCAUCCUAGCCUUUACGUUUGAGAUCUCCACCAUCAUUGCCUAAAGACAAGAAAAAGUCAUCGGAUGAGAUAUGAUGAUGUUUACAAGAUCAUUUAUGACUUUGGAGUUAUCUACAUCGAGUGAAAUUGAUUUGGGAACAUCCCGAUCAAAGGUAUGUGAUUUUAAUUCUCUAUAUCUAUGUUUUUGUGGUAUCCUUAUUAUUUUUUAAUAUCUGUUUAUCUGCUACGAUAGAUUUAAAGAGCUUAAAAUAGAUUUACAUGAUUGAAGUCAUAGGAACAGGGUAAUCUAAGGUUCUUAACAAGAAGACCUCACCCAUCACCUUGGCCAAUUGAGUGGACAAAUUCUUUACAUGAUCCUUCAAGUCCUGGGGGUCAAGGCGGGACGACGUAAGGUGAUCAGUGGAUUGGUAAGUACCCGAUAAUGCUUUUUGCAUAAUAUCAGUAACAACAAAAUCUCCGAAAGUAGCUUGCUAAUUUUUAUGGAAUGUAAAAAGGAAAAGAUCUCUCGUAUAUAAAAUUUCCAAUACUAAAAUGUACUUUUCUCGCGGGCUGUGCUGCUGGGGACUUGGCUGGGCCCAUUAUUGUAUCAAUUUGCUUUGAAAAGGUUCUUCAUGCAUACCUUUAGAAGAGCACAUGGGAUAAGCUAUCUGAUGGAUUCUUGGCACCUGCUUCGAAUUUGUUUACUACCCGAAUUUUUAAAGGAUCUGCCGCUUACAUUUAUGCAUAAACCAUAAUUGAUCACAAAUCACUUAAAUCUGGUGUUAGGCCAAAAUCGACCCAGCUACCCAUUCACCAAAUUUUCCUUCCUGGGAGACUACCAUUCCCUUAGGUCACGAUUGUCAUGGUCUCCAAGAAUAAUCAGAACUGGUAUUAAUUGAUUUAAUUGCAAUCGAUUGAUAUGUUUUGCUGGUAGCGUAAGUUUCAUAGGACUGCAUUUCCUUAUACAGAAGAUGUAUGAUCUGAACUGGCCAUUGAGUUGUGCCAAAGGUACAUCCCAUUGUUAAAUAAUGGAUUCGGCAAAUAGUUUGAACUAAUUCUAAGCCAUCGCUUGUCCACAUGAUGCUCUACCAUCACUGGAUCCAUGAAGAUGAAGUCACAUUUCACAUAAUACAAAAUAUGUUACAGAGCAUUGCGGAGCCGGUAUCAGAAUAUUUUGCCCUCCAUUUUCUCAUCAGAUACCCAAUAUCAUUUCACUUGUCUAAAUACUAUUUUACUUAUGGUAUAUGCGUCUAGAGAUCCCAUUGAAAAGAAAAAAGUGGGUUUGUUUAAUAAUCAUAAACGAGGUGGGAUCAAGAAGUAAUAUUUCUAAGCUCCUUCCUCUGUACUCUUGGCUAUCCUCCCUGCAGCUUCUAUGAUUGAAGGAAAACAUUUCAAGAUGAGCUCAGGUGUCCCAGAUCAUCACAACCGCGAUUACCCCGAUGCCCAACAACACUGCUAAGAACUUGUAGUUGGGGGUGUCAAAGGGAACUGUUCUCUGGCAAGUGUAUCCCUUGGACAAUAGAUGGUUUAUUGAGACAUAUAUGAAGAUCC
Molecule: long non-coding RNA, 5160 nt
Filed under: Vitis vinifera (wine grape)
Lineage: Eukaryota; Viridiplantae; Streptophyta; Magnoliopsida; Vitales; Vitaceae
Description: long non-coding RNA (VVIN_LNC006506)
Source: RNAcentral